GACUACGGCAAAAGAAAACGAAGAAAGAAAUCAAAAAGAGACAAAGAAGAAAGCAGGAAACAGACGAAAAAGACAAACACAAAAACAAUUUUUUAUAAGAGCUUGUCUCGGGACGGUUCAACCGUUGGAAAGUUCUUUCUUGAUUCAAUAGGGGCGGGGGCAUGGCCGUUCUUAGUUGGUGGAGUGAUUUGUCUGGUUAAUUCCGUUAACGAACGAGACCUUAACAUGAUAAAUAGUCACGCGAACCGGUCCGCAAGGGCUCAAAGUUCGCGGCUGGACAUGUAAGAGGGACUAUUGGCACCCGCCAGCGAAGGGAAGUGUGAGGCAAUAACAGGUCUGUGAUGCCCGUAGAGGUUGUCGGCCGCACGCGCGUUACAAUGAAGGAGUCAAUCGAGCGUUUAGCAUGACACGACAGGAAAGGGAAAACCAAAAAAUUAGGUUGAGAUGGAAAUAAAAAAAAGAAAAAAAGGAUUUUGAAAGAGGAAAAACAAAGAAACAAAAGAGUAUAUCAAAACAAGUAGAGAUCAUCAUACAUUAGAGAAAAAAAAGAUACGAUACAGUACACUGAUAAUCAAGG
This 577-nucleotide ribosomal RNA is filed under the name Vermamoeba vermiformis. RNAcentral's name for it is "partial small subunit ribosomal RNA". The stretch from base 1 to 376 matches the Rfam family "Eukaryotic small subunit ribosomal RNA", at positions 1197 to 1501 of the family's 1831-position model. The record is from RNAcentral. Lineage: Eukaryota; Tubulinea; Echinamoebida; Vermamoebidae.